Long non-coding RNA from Helianthus annuus (common sunflower), 514 nucleotides. RefSeq lists it as uncharacterized. The transcript has 3 exons. NCBI's taxonomy places the organism in Eukaryota, Viridiplantae, Streptophyta, Magnoliopsida, Asterales, Asteraceae. The record is from RefSeq and is a predicted model, not a curated record.
CCAUGGCCCCGAGUGUCAUUAUGACUAUGAGUUACUUCUAUCUCAGAUCUGAUAUUCGGGUUCAGGAUUUAGCGGGUCAACAGUGGACAAAUAGUCAACAUCAGUACGGUUCAGGUUCACAAGUUUAGGAUUCGGGUUUGUUGCACGGUCAGUUCGACUCAACAGUUAACCAUGGUCAGAAUCGGGGUUUCGGGUCAAACCCGGUUGACUCGGUCAACACCAGAGUCAACUUGGGUCAACAUACGGUCAAUCGGGGUCGAAACCAGACCCGGAAUGUCGUAGUUGCACGCUAGCUAAUACACGUUCAUGGAACAACACUAUGGAAAUCACGCUAGGCUAGCUUUGCACAGGAAUGUCAAGGUUGCAUUUUUCAAAACUACGGAACGGUUGGAAUAGAAGAACCCACGGGAUUUCGAGUACUGAGCGGGCGUUCAGUGUUUAGAAGUCUUAGCUUUUUGCUUCCGCUGUGCAAUGAAGAUACCGGUCCAGUCACGCCAGCUCUGAUUUUUCGGGG